Molecule: ribosomal RNA, 455 nt
Filed under: uncultured Saprospiraceae bacterium
Lineage: Bacteria; Pseudomonadati; Bacteroidota; Saprospiria; Saprospirales; Saprospiraceae
Description: bacterial SSU rRNA
Rfam family: Bacterial small subunit ribosomal RNA
Source: RNAcentral
GAUGAACGCUAGCGGGAGGCUUAAUACAUGCAAGUCGAACGGUAACAAUUCGGUUGACGAGUGGCGCACGGGUGAGUAACGCGUACACGACCUACCUCAAACAGAAGGACAUACACUGGAAACGGAGUAAAUACUUCAUAGUCCCGCGAGGGUAAAGCUACGGCGGUUUGAGAUGGGUGUGCGUCUGAUUAGCUAGUUGGUGAGGUAACGGCUCACCAAGGCGACGAUCAGUAGGGGGCGUGAGAGCGUGAUCCCCCACACGGGUACUGAGACACGGACCCGACUCCUACGGGAGGCAGCAGUAAGGAAUAUUGGACAAUGGGCGCAAGCCUGAUCCAGCCAUCCCGCGUGCAGGAUGACGGCCCUAUGGGUUGUAAACUGCUUUUAUAAAGGAAGAAACCUAUUCUUUCAAGAGUAGCUGACGGUACUUUAUGAAUAAGCACCGGCUAACUCCG